CGCUCAUUACGUAACAAAUUUCUUGCUUGUGAUCGCUCUAUUCUUUCUUUUGAUUGCUUUAUUCUCUUUGCUGUUAAAUUCUCAUUCUUAAUAACCAUACUCUUUCAUUAUUUCUACUGAGUUUGCUUCCUAAUCUUCUUUACUGCUUUGACAGUUAAUUCCUAACACUCAAUAAUGUUGUCAAUCCCCGGUAGUGGUGCCAAAAUGUGAUUGCUCAUUUUACUUAUUCCAAAUUAAUCUAAUGGAAAUAAAUCCAUAUAGGAGAAUUCGAACACAAGGAAAGACCAUGUAUAUGAGCUCCAAUUGUUAGGAUCAUGCAAUCAAUUACCUCCUGAAUGUAUCAUCUCUAUUUCUAAUAUCUGAACGCACAAAGAAACUAUAAUCUCCUCCUUCACCUUAUCGGUCUCUUCCUUACAGCAAUUCAGUCAUACCAAUAACUGCUAUUUUCACCAAUAUAUUCACCCUCAUAAU
RNAcentral lists this long non-coding RNA (471 nucleotides) under Physcomitrium patens. Its description in RNAcentral is "long non-coding RNA (PPAT_LNC011323)". The record is from RNAcentral. Lineage: Eukaryota; Viridiplantae; Streptophyta; Bryopsida; Funariales; Funariaceae.